Molecule: non-coding RNA, 23 nt
Filed under: Arabidopsis thaliana (thale cress)
Lineage: Eukaryota; Viridiplantae; Streptophyta; Magnoliopsida; Brassicales; Brassicaceae
Source: RNAcentral
AGAGUCAACAUUGCCGGUAGUGA